RNAcentral lists this ribosomal RNA (206 nucleotides) under uncultured bacterium. Its description in RNAcentral is "partial 16S ribosomal RNA". It matches the Rfam family "Bacterial small subunit ribosomal RNA", at positions 568 to 774 of the family's 1533-position model. The record is from RNAcentral.
CGUGUAGGCGGGUGAAUAAGUCAGAAGUGAAAUCCAAUAGCUCAACUAUUGAACUGCUUUUGAAACUGUAUACCUAGAAUGUGGGAGAGGCAGAUGGAAUUUCUGGUGUAGGGGUAAAAUCCGUAGAGAUCAGAAGGAAUACCGAUUGCGAAGGCGAUCUGCUGGAACAUUAUUGACGCUGAGACGCGAAAGCGUGGGAGCAAACA